CCUACGGGUGGCAGCAGUGGGGAAUAUUGGGCAAUGGGCGCAAGCCUGACCCAGCAACGCCGCGUGAAGGAAGAAGGCUUUCGGGUUGUAAACUUCUUUUGACAGGGAAGAGGAGAAGACGGUACCUGGCGGAUAAGGCACGGCUAACUACGUGACGACCGGCGCGGUAAUACGGAGGGGGCAAGCGUUUUCCGGGUUUACUGGGUGGAAAGGGCGGGUUGCCGGGUGGACAAGUCAGAUGUGAAAACCUGCGGCUUAACCGAAGAACUGCAUUUGAAACUGUUGUUCUUGAGUACUGGAGAGGCAGACGGAAUUCCUAGUGUAGCGGUGAAAUGCGUAGAUAUUAGGAGGAACACCAGUUGCGAAGGCGGUCUGCUGGACAGCAACUGACGGUGAGGCGCGAAAGCGUGGGGAGCAAACAGGAUUAGAUACCCUGGUAGUC
RNAcentral lists this ribosomal RNA (442 nucleotides) under uncultured bacterium. RNAcentral describes it as "partial 16S ribosomal RNA". It matches the Rfam family "Bacterial small subunit ribosomal RNA", at positions 338 to 795 of the family's 1533-position model. The record is from RNAcentral.